CGGUAAUUCCAGCUCCAAUAGCGUAUACUAAAGUUGUUGCAGUUAAAAAGCUCGUAGUUGGAUUUCUGCGCGGGCGGGGCGGCAGCGGGCUCUUAAACCUGUCUUGCUAGCACCUCCCGCGCAUCCUGCCGCGACCCACGCUACCAUUCACUUGGUGGCGUCUGGCGACCGGCUCGUUUACUUUGAGAAAAAUAGAGUGUUCAAAGCAGGCAUCUCGCCUUGAAUAAUGUAGCAUGGAAUAAUGAUAAAGGACUUUGGUUCUAUUUUGUUGGUGUUCGGGACUGAAGUAAUGAUUGAUAGGGACAGUUGGGGGCGUCUGUAUUCUGAAGCGAGAGGUGAAAUUCUUAGACCUUCGGAAGACAAACAGCUGCGAAAGCGUUCGCCAAGGAUGUUCCCUUUGAUCAAGAACGAAAGUUGGGGGAUCGAAGACGAUCAGAUACCGUCGUAGUCUCAACUAUAAACUAUACCAGCUAGGGAUCGGCCAACGUUGAUUCCAAAAGACUUGGUCGGCACCUUAUGAGAAAUCAAAGCAUCUGGGUUCCGGGGGGAGUAUGGUCGCAAGGCUGAAACUUAAAGGAAUUGACGGAAGGGCACCACCAGGCAUGGAGCCUGUGGCUUAAUUUGGCUCAACACGGGGAAACUUACCAGGUCCAGACAUGAGAAGGAUUGACAGAUUGACAGCUCUUUCUUGAUUUUAUGGGUGGUGGUGCAUGGCCGUUCUUAGUUGGUGGAGUGAUUUGUCUGGUUAAUUCCGUUAACGAACGAGACCCCAGCCUGCUAAAUAGCGCGCGUGGCCUCUGGCCGCGGCGAGCUUCUUAGAGGGACUAUGGCUUCGUUAUAGGCCAGGGAAGUUUGGGGCAAUAACAGGUCUGUGAUGCCCUUAGAUGUUCUGGGCCGCACACGGGCUACACUGACGCGUGCAACGAGCAUAUCAGCUGGCCCGAAAGGGUGUGGGCUAAUCUUUUGAAUUCGCGUCGUGCUAGGGAUCGACUAUUGCAAUUGUUAGUCGUGCAACGAGGAAUGCCUUGUAAACGCGAGUCAUCAACUCGCAUUGAAUACGUCCCUGCCCCUUGUACACACCGCCC
RNAcentral lists this ribosomal RNA (1085 nucleotides) under uncultured Rhizaria. Its description in RNAcentral is "bacterial SSU rRNA". It matches the Rfam family "Eukaryotic small subunit ribosomal RNA", at positions 577 to 1674 of the family's 1831-position model. The record is from RNAcentral.